GAGAGAGGCAUGCAGCAAUGAAGACUGCUAAUCUUCAUAACUUUGGUUGGACCCCAGAGCUCACUCA
RNAcentral lists this transfer RNA (67 nucleotides) under Asterorhombus intermedius (intermediate flounder). RNAcentral describes it as "tRNA-Ser". Lineage: Eukaryota; Metazoa; Chordata; Actinopteri; Pleuronectiformes; Bothidae. The record is from RNAcentral.